GUUAAAAAGCUCGUAGUUGGAUUUCUGCAUGGAAGGAGCGGUCCACCCAUUGGGCGAGUUACUGCUACCUUUGGUGCAUCUUUCUGAGGACGUGUUCUUCACUUAAUUGUGAGGGCGCAGGACUCAGAACAUUUACUUUGAGGAAAUGAGAGUGUUUCAAGCAGGCAAAUGCCUUGAAUACGUUAGCAUGGAAUAAUAGCAUCGGACCAUCGUCCAGCUGUUGGUGUCUGGGCGAAGGUAAAGGUGAAUAGGGAUUGUUGGGGGCAUUCGUAUUUAACUGUCAGAGGUGAAAUUCUUGGAUUUGUUGAAGACGGACCACUGCGAAAGCAUCUGCCAAAGAUGUUCUCAUUGAUCAAGAACGAAAGUUAGGUGAUCGAAGACGAUCAGAUACCGUCCUAGUCUUAACCAUAAACUAUGCCGACUGGAGAUAGGAAGCGUUUAUCUUACGACUCUUUCUGCAUCUUGAGAGAAAUCAAAGUCUUUGGGUUCCGGGGGGAGUAUGGUCGCAAGGCUGAAACUUAAAGGAAUUUGACGGAAGGGCACCACCCAGGAGUGGAGCCCUGCGGCUUAAUUUUGACUCAACACGGGGAAACUUUACCCAGGUCCGGACAUAGGUAGGAUUGACAGACUGAGAGCUCUUUUCUUGAUUCUAUGGGUGGUGGUGCAUGGCCGUUCUUAGUUGGUGGGAGUGAUUUGUCUGGUUAAUUCCGU
This 711-nucleotide ribosomal RNA is filed under the name uncultured marine alveolate. Its description in RNAcentral is "SSU rRNA". It matches the Rfam family "Eukaryotic small subunit ribosomal RNA", at positions 618 to 1328 of the family's 1831-position model. The record is from RNAcentral.